ACCCCAUCCCGAGCGGCCGAGAGACCUGGCUCCACGACGCCGCAGCAACCACCCCGUGCGCACACGGGGCCGGUGCUCACGCCAGGAACGAUGGAGC
RNAcentral lists this non-coding RNA (97 nucleotides) under Tersicoccus phoenicis. RNAcentral describes it as "SAM-I sequence". It matches the Rfam family "SAM riboswitch aptamer (S box leader)". From Rfam's summary of the family: The SAM riboswitch is found upstream of a number of genes which code for proteins involved in methionine or cysteine biosynthesis in Gram-positive bacteria. The SAM riboswitch acts at the level of transcription termination control. Lineage: Bacteria; Bacillati; Actinomycetota; Actinomycetes; Micrococcales; Micrococcaceae. The record is from Rfam by way of RNAcentral.